Molecule: ribosomal RNA, 293 nt
Filed under: uncultured bacterium
Lineage: Bacteria
Description: partial 16S ribosomal RNA
Rfam family: Bacterial small subunit ribosomal RNA
Source: RNAcentral
GGAUUAGAUACCCUGGUAGUCCACGCUGUAAACGAUGUCUACUAGCCGUUGAGAUCUAUAAGGUCUGAGUGGCGCAGCCAACGCAUUAAGUAGACCGCCUGGGGAGUACGGCCGCAAGGUUAAAACUCAAAUGAAUUGACGGGGGCCCGCACAAGCGGUGGAGCAUGUGGUUUAAUUCGAAGCAACGCGAAGAACCUUACCUACCCUUGACAUCCUGCGAAUCUUGUAGAGAUACGAGAGUGCCUUCGGGAGCGCAGUGACAGGUGCUGCAUGGCUGUCGUCAGCUCGUGCUG